Molecule: transfer RNA, 73 nt
Filed under: Faecalicoccus sp.
Lineage: Bacteria; Bacillati; Bacillota; Erysipelotrichia; Erysipelotrichales; Erysipelotrichaceae
Description: tRNA-Thr
Rfam family: tRNA
About the family: Transfer RNA (tRNA) molecules are approximately 80 nucleotides in length. Their secondary structure includes four short double-helical elements and three loops (D, anti-codon, and T loops).
Source: RNAcentral
GCCGACGUAGCACAGCCGGUAGUGCAACGCACUCGUCACGCGUAGGUCGUUGGUUCAAGUCCAAUCGUCGGCA